GGUGUGUGUGUGGGUAGGUAGAAAGUGCUGCUACAGUGCCAUUACUGUCAUUCCCGGCUGCAAUGAAGACUCACAG
Long non-coding RNA from Sander lucioperca (pikeperch), 76 nucleotides. RefSeq lists it as uncharacterized. The transcript is spliced from 3 exons. The record is from RefSeq and is a predicted model, not a curated record. NCBI's taxonomy places the organism in Eukaryota, Metazoa, Chordata, Actinopteri, Perciformes, Percidae.